Molecule: small nuclear RNA, 141 nt
Organism: Cynocephalus volans (Philippine flying lemur)
Lineage: Eukaryota; Metazoa; Chordata; Mammalia; Dermoptera; Cynocephalidae
Product: U4 spliceosomal RNA
Exons: 1
Source: RefSeq, a predicted model, not a curated record
ACCUUUGCACAGUGACAGUAUCGUAGCCAAUGACGUUCAUCUUAGGCGCUAUUAUUGUGAAUUGAAAACUUUUCUCAGUACCCCACCACGACAACUUGAAAAAUAGUUGACACUGGCAAUUUUUGACAGUUUUUGUGGAGA